Molecule: ribosomal RNA, 419 nt
Filed under: Acidovorax sp. R-26837
Lineage: Bacteria; Pseudomonadati; Pseudomonadota; Betaproteobacteria; Burkholderiales; Comamonadaceae
Description: bacterial SSU rRNA
Rfam family: Bacterial small subunit ribosomal RNA
Source: RNAcentral
UCCUGGCUCAGAUUGAACGCUGGCGGCAUGCCUUACACAUGCAAGUCGAACGGUAACAGGUCUUCGGAUGCUGACGAGUGGCGAACGGGUGAGUAAUACAUCGGAACGUGCCCGAUCGUGGGGGAUAACGAAGCGAAAGCUUUGCUAAUACCGCAUACGAUCUACGGAUGAAAGCAGGGGACCGCAAGGCCUUGCGCGAACGGAGCGGCCGAUGGCAGAUUAGGUAGUUGGUGGGAUAAAAGCUUACCAAGCCGACGAUCUGUAGCUGGUCUGAGAGGACGACCAGCCACACUGGGACUGAGACACGGCCCAGACUCCUACGGGAGGCAGCAGUGGGGAAUUUUGGACAAUGGGCGAAAGCCUGAUCCAGCCAUGCCGCGUGCAGGAUGAAGGCCUUCGGGUUGUAAACUGCUUUUGUA